AUUGAACGCUGGCGGCAGGCCUAACACAUGCAAGUCGAGCGGAUGAAGGGAGCUUGCUCCUGGAUUCAGCGGCGGGCGGGUGAGUAAUGCCUAGGAAUCUGCCUGCUAGUGGGGGAUAACGUCCGGAAACGGGCGCUAAUACCGCAUACGUCCUGAGGGAGAAAGUGGGGGAUCUUCGGACCUCACGCUAUCAGAUGACCCUGGGUCGGAUUAGCUAGUUGGUGGGGUAAAGGCCUACCAAGGCGACGAUCCGUAACUGGUCUGAGAGGAUGAUCAGUCACACUGGAACUGAGACACGGUCCAGACUCCUACGGGAGGCAGCAGUGGGGAAUAUUGGACAAUGGGCGAAAGCCUGAUCCAGCCAUGCCGCGUGUGUGAAGAAGGUCUUCGGAUUGUAAAGCACUUUAAGUUGGGAGGAAGGGCAGUAAGUUAAUACCUUGCUGUUUUGACGUUACCAACAGAAUAAGCACCGGCUAACUUCGUG
RNAcentral lists this ribosomal RNA (484 nucleotides) under uncultured bacterium. Its description in RNAcentral is "partial 16S ribosomal RNA". It matches the Rfam family "Bacterial small subunit ribosomal RNA", at positions 30 to 507 of the family's 1533-position model. The record is from RNAcentral.